This 74-nucleotide transfer RNA is filed under the name Bacteroidales bacterium. RNAcentral describes it as "tRNA-Arg". It matches the Rfam family "tRNA". From Rfam's summary of the family: Transfer RNA (tRNA) molecules are approximately 80 nucleotides in length. Their secondary structure includes four short double-helical elements and three loops (D, anti-codon, and T loops). Lineage: Bacteria; Pseudomonadati; Bacteroidota; Bacteroidia; Bacteroidales. The record is from RNAcentral.
GGUCCCUUAACUCAGUUGGAUAGAGUAACGGUCUUCUAAACCGUAAGUCGAGAGUUCGAAUCUCUCAGGGACUA